Molecule: non-coding RNA, 26 nt
Filed under: Mus musculus (house mouse)
Lineage: Eukaryota; Metazoa; Chordata; Mammalia; Rodentia; Muridae
Source: RNAcentral
UGACCAUCAAUUGCAUAGACACAGAU